AAGCACACUCAGUCUAUCCCGGUGCAAUGAGACUAGCCUC
RNAcentral lists this unclassified non-coding RNA (40 nucleotides) under Mus musculus (house mouse). RNAcentral describes it as "oocyte_clustered_small_RNA3384". The record is from RNAcentral. Lineage: Eukaryota; Metazoa; Chordata; Mammalia; Rodentia; Muridae.